Molecule: ribosomal RNA, 497 nt
Filed under: uncultured bacterium
Lineage: Bacteria
Description: partial 16S ribosomal RNA
Rfam family: Bacterial small subunit ribosomal RNA
Source: RNAcentral
GACGAACGCUGGCGGCGUGCCUAAUACAUGCAAGUUGAGCGAUGAAGAUUGGUGCUUGCACCAAUUUGAAGAGCAGCGAACGGGUGAGUAACGCGUGGGGAAUCUGCCUUUGAGCGGGGGACAACAUUUGGAAACGAAUGCUAAUACCGCAUAAUAACUUUAAACAUAAGUUUUAAGUUUGAAAGAUGCAAUUGCAUCACUCAAAGAUGAUCCCGCGUUGUAUUAGCUAGUUGGUGAGGUAAAGGCUCACCAAGGCGAUGAUACGUAGCCGACCUGAGAGGGUGAUCGGCCACAUUGGGACUGAGACACGGCCCAAACUCCUACGGGAGGCAGCAGUAGGGAAUCUUCGGCAAUGGACGAAAGUCUGACCGAGCAACGCCGCGGGAGUGAAGAAGGUUUUCGGAUCGUAAAACUCGGUUGGUAGAGAAGAACGUUGGUGAGAGUGGAAAGCUCAUCAAGUGACGGUAACUACCCAGAAAGGGACGGCUAACUACGUG